CAGGAGGAAGCAGAGCUUCCAAUUCCACUUAAGUCGGGACCAACAGUAAUGGUAGAUGCUGUUGGAACUGUGGUUGGCUGGCCAAAAGAAUUGGUGAUAUUUCCGACGACAAAGACUGAUGACUGAGGAGGAGACCAUUCCUAUCGAAUUUGAUGAAGCCAUGUUUGGACGUAAUGUGAGUACAUCGUUGUUGAGAGAGGAUAUCAUGCGCUGUAUGGAAAUGAGAGAGAUAGGGUCAAGGCAAAUUUUGGUUUACAUGGGUUACUUGUACAAGUACUUGAAGGAAACAAACAGGGCUGAGUAUGUGUCGUUUGUG
This is a long non-coding RNA of Zingiber officinale, 316 nucleotides long. RefSeq lists it as uncharacterized. The record is from RefSeq and is a predicted model, not a curated record. Lineage: Eukaryota; Viridiplantae; Streptophyta; Magnoliopsida; Zingiberales; Zingiberaceae. The transcript has 3 exons.